This 465-nucleotide ribosomal RNA is filed under the name Vreelandella stevensii. RNAcentral's name for it is "partial 16S ribosomal RNA". It matches the Rfam family "Bacterial small subunit ribosomal RNA", at positions 338 to 795 of the family's 1533-position model. Lineage: Bacteria; Pseudomonadati; Pseudomonadota; Gammaproteobacteria; Oceanospirillales; Halomonadaceae. The record is from RNAcentral.
CCUACAGGAGGCUGCAGUGGGGAAUAUUGGACAAUGGGGGGAACCCUGAUCCAGCCAUGCCGCGUGUGUGAAGAAGGCCCUCGGGUUGUAAAGCACUUUCAGUGAGGAAGAACGCCUGGUGGUUAAUACCCAUCAGGAAAGACAUCACUCACAGAAGAAGCACCGGCUAACUCCGUGCCAGCAGCCGCGGUAAUACGGAGGGUGCGAGCGUUAAUCGGAAUUACUGGGCGUAAAGCGCGCGUAGGUGGCUUGAUAAGCCGGUUGUGAAAGCCCCGGGCUCAACCUGGGAACGGCAUCCGGAACUGUCAAGCUAGAGUGCAGGAGAGGAAGGUAGAAUUCCCGGUGUAGCGGUGAAAUGCGUAGAGAUCGGGAGGAAUACCAGUGGCGAAGGCGGCCUUCUGGACUGACACUGACACUGAGGUGCGAAAGCGUGGGUAGCAAACAGGAUUAGAUACCCUUGUAGUC